GACAGAGGGUGCUAGCGUUGUUCGGAAUUACUGGGCGUAAAGGGCGCGUAGGCGGCCCGUUUAGUCGGGUGUGAAAUCCCAAGGCUCAACCUUGGAACUGCACUCGAUACUGGCGGGCUAGAGACCGGAAGAGGUGGGUGGAAUACCCAGUGUAGAGGUGAAAUUCGUAGAUAUUGGGUGGAACACCGGUGGCGAAGGCGGCUCACUGGUCCGGUUCUGACGCUGAGGCGCGAAAGCGUGGGGAGCAAACAGG
RNAcentral lists this ribosomal RNA (253 nucleotides) under uncultured bacterium. RNAcentral describes it as "partial 16S ribosomal RNA". It matches the Rfam family "Bacterial small subunit ribosomal RNA", at positions 524 to 776 of the family's 1533-position model. The record is from RNAcentral.